RNAcentral lists this ribosomal RNA (253 nucleotides) under uncultured bacterium. RNAcentral's name for it is "partial 16S ribosomal RNA". It matches the Rfam family "Bacterial small subunit ribosomal RNA", at positions 524 to 776 of the family's 1533-position model. The record is from RNAcentral.
UACGAAGGUGGCAAGCGUUGUUCGGAUUUACUGGGCGUACAGGGAGCGUAGGCGGUUGGGUAAGCCCUCCGUGAAAUCUCCAGGCUUAAACUGGAAAGUGCAGAGGGGACUGCUCGGCUAGAGGAUGGGAGAGGAGCGCGGAAUUCCCGGUGUAGCGGUGAAAUGCGUAGAGAUCGGGAGGAAGGCCGGUGGCGAAGGCGGCGCUCUGGAACAUUUCUGACGCUGAGGCUCGAAAGCGUGGGGAGCAAACAGG